ACGAGAGAGGUUGUGUCUUGUGCUUCCAGUCCAGUUGUGGAGCCUGGGUUUUAGAAUUUAGUGGAUGUCCUAUUCAUCUGUGUUGUGGAAAAGGGCAGAGUAGUAAUUCAUGUUUUUAUUCUGAAAGAGAAUUUAUGAUUAUGAGGGUAUCUUAGAGAAUUCAUAUUGCUGAAAUUUCUUAGAAUUCUUUCCAUGUUAAAGGUUCAUAUUUUACCGAAAUAAUUCUUGGAUACCUUCAUUUAACAGUGCUCUUCAUUCUGGUUUAUAUUUAGGAAGCUCUUCAUUUGUUUUAACGGUUAUCACCCUAUCAUACAACUGUGUGUGAUCUGGCACUUCCAUUCUCCCUCUUAGAAUUUAGACUCCCCACACACUGGCAAGAAAGAAGUCUGGAAAGGAAUUCUAAGCUAUGCAAAACAAGUCACUGAUUUAUUUCACUUACACCUAGCUUAGAAGUCAUUCAUCUUCAUUUUUCACAUUAACCUUUGUAAUUCUUUUACAUUUCCUAAAAUUUCUAAUCUAUAAUUUGGGAACCAUUAUCUUAUAAAUGUUUGAAUACGGAUGCAUAGUAACUCAUCACUCCUCUGUGAGAGUUUCUCACAGAGCUCCAUUAAUUUAGUGAAAUUUUUAUGGUCAAGGGCCUGGCUUUCUGAUUGGAAAUCCAGAAACUAACAUGUGAAACUACUUCCUGACAUUGGAAAAUAAACUGGGUUUCCAAACUGUUAACUUAAAACAAGGUAUGUAUGUAACUUUUAAGUGCAUGGGAUGCUUGCUUUGGCCUGACUAGUGCAUCCUUACUCUUCUAGAAAGCUAUCUGGGAAUCUAAAUCAGAAGUUUGGCUGAUGUCACAUCAUCAUGGCAAGGAGAGCUAUAUUCUUCAAGUGUUCGAAGGAAACAGGAUGGGGUGUGCCUGGCAGGAUAUACCUGUCAGUAAGGGGUGUAUCUGCCAGACACCACCAUCUGCUUCUCAGGGCAGCUUCUUCGUGGCUAGGAGUUAGCGGAAUAAUGCUGUCAGUGUAUGUCUCUAAUUCCUCUAGUGCACCUCUCCCAGACUCUCUUCUGCUUGGCUUUCUCAUUAAUGUUAGCACACAUUUAUAGUCAAAACCUUCUUCCAUCCCGGCAGCUUGCUGCCCACCAUGGUGUUGUACAUACCUAACCAUAACCAUGUGUUGAUUUUAAUAUUUAAUGCCGAGGCUUAAUGGAAGGAAGAGUACCUAAUCAUGAUCCUCAGUUGUGACUGAGUGUAACCUCAGAUUUAGAAAAUAUCGGUCUUGGAGUUCCCGUCAUGGCUCAGUGGUUAACGAAUCUGACUAGGAACCACGAGGUGCAGGUUCGAUCCCUGGCCUCGCUCAGUGGGUUGGGGAUCUGUGGUGUAGGUCACAGACGCCGCUUGGAUUAAUGUUGCUGUGGCUGUGGUGUAGGCCGGUAGCUGUAGAUCCAAUUCAGCCCCCAGCCUGGGAACCUCCAUAUGCCGUGGGUGGUGCAGCCCUUUAAAAAAAAAAAAGAAAAUAUAGGUCAAGGUACUUAACAUUCAUCUUUACAACUAUCCAAGCAACAUUCCCAGCUUUUAAAAACCAGUAUAAGAAAAUUAUCUUUUUAGAUGCUAAAAGUGAAAAUUUUCUUUUUCUAGAAGUUAUGUGUAUGACCCUUGAAAAAAUGUAAAAGAAUUAGGCCCUCUCAUUCAGAAUCUCAAAAAGCAAUUCAAUCUAGGAAACUUGCAGUUUCCCAGAAAGGAUACAGUGUCCGGCAAGUAAGGCGAGUGCAGGAAUUGAUUAUGCGUCACCUAGUGACAGAGAGCAGAUGUUUUGUGAAUCUUUCCCUUAAGAAAUAAUUGUCAGAGGGAGGCAAUGAUUGAGUUGAUGCUGAUUGAGAUAGAGAUGAAGGGAUAUAGAGAAUCCUUUGAGACAUCCACAGACAGGGGAGAGGUUCCAGGGUAUAAUCUGAGGGGAAGAAUUGUUGCAGGUAGCAGAGACUAUUAGCAGGAGACAUGGAGAGGUACAGAGGGUUGAAUCGGAGCUGUAGCUGCCAGCCCUACGCCACAGCCACAGCAACACCAGAUCCCAGCCGCAAAUGCCACCUUCACCACAGCUCACAGCCACACCAGUUCCUUAACCCACUGAGCAAGGCCAGGGAUUGAACCCAAAUCUUCAUGGAUCCUAGUCAGGUUCAUUACCACUGAGCCACAACAGGAACUCCAGAAUAUUCUAGAACAGAAUUUUCAAAGCAUGCCAUCUCAGCAAAUAUUAUCAAGUGUGAAAAGUUACAUGGCAAUUGCCAUGUACUAGGCACUUGUUGAAGAUACUUUGUCCACAUGCUCCUCCCAACAACCUUAUUAGGAAUGUAAAAUUGUUAUUUUUUGCAUUUCCACAAAUGGAAAAGUUAGGCACAGAAAGUUAAGUAGUUUGCCCGUUAUGAUGCAGCCAUUCCUUAAUGGAUAGAACAUGAAGGCAGGUGGCCAUUUGGUGUUGCUAACCCCAAACUACCUGCGUGAAAACAAAUAGUAUCCAUGUAAGAACAAUAUCCAUACUGUGUAUAUGUGCUGUGUAUAGGGUGCUUCAAGAAACACCCUCAUUCCCAAUCCCAACCAGGAUGUUUCCUUUCAUUUUCUCCCACGUAGAUGUCCUAGAGCCUCUCCUGGAGGGAAGUGAGGGUGUGGCUCUGAGAACACUAGCAGGCAUUAGCAAGAGUAGGGGGGGGGGUACCAGAUGGGAACAGGAAAUUGGGGAGCCCCUAAUUUCCCCGGGGGAGGCAAGGAGGCUGUCACAGAACAGAAACUUGGUUGAACUUCCAAAAUCACAUCAAGUGAACUACCUAAACUUAUUAAAUAUAAAUCUUAGUUCCACCUGCUGUGUUCCAGGCUAGAAAUUGUCAGGUUUGGGAGUUCCCGUUGUGGUGCAGCAGAAAUGAAUCCGACUAGUAUCCAUGAGGAUAUGGGUUCAAUCCCUGGCCUCACUCAAUGGGUUCAUGAUCCAGCGUUGCCAUGAGCUGCGGUGUAUGUCACAAACAAGGCUUGGAGCCCAAGUUGCUGUGGCUGUGGCCGGCAGCUGUAGCUGGGAUUUGACCUCUAGCCUGGGAACUUCCAUAUGCCUUUUUUUUUAGGGUGCAGCCCUAAAAAAACAAACAAACAAAAAAACCACCAGUCAUGUUUUCAGUGAGAUACAAAAGAAACACAAUAGAAAGAUCCCAGCCCUUUGCUAUAUAGUUAAAUUGAAAUGGCUCUUCAAUUCCUCAUCUCAUACACACCCUUCACUACUAAAUCUGAUGCCUUCCACUCCCCGGACCCUCCUGCACCCUAAACUUCCAUUAUUUUAUUGUUACAUAUGUGAACCAAUCUUUAGAGAGAUUCUAGUAGGGGCUCAACUGACUUUGCCAAAUGACACCUUUUUGACCCUAAAUUAUUUUUUAUUGUGAUGCCUGACCACACUUCAACUUUUGUCCCACAGUAUCUUAAAGAUGUUAUGGCCCCUUGCAGAAGUGAAAGUAAUUCAACUAGAGCCAGAUAGGGGAGAAAGAGGACAGUGGGUGAAAGUAAGACGCCAAAUAACCACCUGCAAUCUAUUGAGUAUCUGUACUGUGCCAUGUGCUAUGCCCUCUGCUAAGAACAGGGCCGUGUUGAUGGAAAGUAAAGGACUGCUCUUCAACUCUUCAAGGAGCUCACAGUUUAGCUCAGACGACUAAAUUCGGUUAACCCCUGAACAACAUGGGUUUGAACUGUGCAGGUUCACUUAAUAUGCAGAUUUUUUUCAAUACAAUUCGCCUUUGGUAUCUGCAGAUGUGGAAACUGCAGAUAUGAAGGUCUACUACCGGCCUUGAGUGUGGUGGAUUUUGGUAUCAUUGGCAGGUCCCUGAACCAAUCCUCCGCAAAUCCGAAGGGAUGCCUGUAAUUAGAUAACAGGUCAGAUGGCGUUACGUGCUCUGAAAGGAUGUCCAACGUGUUUUAAAAAUCAAAAUGGAUAUUUGUUUUUCUCCUUGAAAAGAAAUGCCUUGUUGUUCAGACACACAGAGCACAGCAUUUAUUUCUAAAACAAAUAUACUAAUUACAAAGAGUCAAAAACUAUAGAAAUUAUAAAACAGAAACUUGCUAAAUUCUACCAUUCAUAGAAAACCACUCUUAUAAAUGCUGAGGUGUAUUCUUUUCUGCAUAUACUCACAUCUUUUUGCAAAAAAUGAACUCAAAUCACACAUGAUAUUUUGCUGUCUCCUGUGUUUUACUGAAUGAUUUCUAAGACCCUCUCUCUCUUUGAAGGGUAUAGAAUGACGUCAUCACGUAUAACGUCUGGUAUCGUUGUAUGACAGCAGAGUUACUUAUUUCACUCAUCCAGAUUGGACCUUCAUGUGUUUUCUAAUUUUUGUUAUUACUAUUGUAAAUACUUCUUCUUGAGAUGAAAAUUAUUCAAGUAUUGCUGGAUCUCAAGGUACCAUGCCAUUUAAAGUACCUGACAAGGCCUUAUCUUUUUUUUUUUUUCCCUUUUUUCAUCAGAAACUUUUAUUUCAAGUUAAAGUAUUUGGAGCAAAUCUGAUGUCUACUUUGGAGCUAUAUUUCUUCAUACAUUUGUUUUUUAAAUUUUGUAUGAUUGUUAUUGUUUUUAUUAUAGUUGAUUUAGUGUUCUGUCAAUUUCUACUGUACAAUAAAGUGACCCAGUUCUUUUUCUCACAUUAUCCUCCAUCAUGUUCCAUCAAAAGUGACUGGAUAUAGUUCCCUGUGCUAUAUUCUUAUUCUAGCUCCCUGAAUUGUGCACAUCAAGGGCAUGGAGAAAAUAGGGAUUUCUGAGAAAGGGUCUUGUCAGCUCAUCCCCUUCUUUAUUCUAAAAAAAUGAAAUAUAUGCUAAGCCUUUCACCAGAUUUGGUUCCUCAUAAACAUUGAAAAUGUGCUCAUACCUGUCAGAGAAGUGUUUUCCUGCAGCUGAAUCAGUGAUUUUAUCUAAAGUCAACAAAAUAUUCUAUUAUGUACGCCUGUAGGUUAGGAAUAGGACAAAAUGAUCGAUAUAUUGUAAUCAGUGUAUGUGUAAGUUAUUGAUAUAUUGACUAAAUUUAGAAGUUGCGAAGUGGUGACUGGUCUUUAUUGAAUAUGCUUAUGGUAUAAAAUGCUAUUACAAAUGUUGGCGAGUUUAGUAAUGCUCUAAUAGGAGAUUAAAACUAAUUCCAGUUAUCUUCUUUACCUAAAUAUAGUGUUAGGAUCCUUGAAUUGAAAGGUGCAAAAUUUGCUUUGUCAGAUUAUUCACAUUAUUUAUAGUAUUUUAAUCUAAGUGCUUCUUUAAUGAAUAAAUGAAGAACUGUAUCAUUCUCUAUCAUUCUUUGGCACCUGCAUGUAGGAGAAAAAAAAACUUCUGUAUGAGACAGAGAAGCAGCUUAUAUAUUCUAAAGGAACCAAGGUGGAGUGGAGAGGGAGGAGCUCAGAAAAAUCAAGAUCUUUCCUCAAAUUACCUGAACCACUCUUCUGCAAAACACUUGUCCUAUUUACACUGUUAAGUGGUAGGCUCUCAGGGACAGGAUCUGCAGUGGCAGAGGAAGUAGAGAUUUGAAUUGUCUCUAUUUUUGGAGGGAUCAGAACCCACUGCUGAGGCGGGGGGCGGGGGUGAUACUCGGAAGUAGAGAUUGCAAGUUAAGUUUUCACCCUGAGUUUUACAGUAAAGGUUAAAAGUCAGUUGUCCACAGCUUAUUAUUUGAGAUGAGGGAAAAAUUAAAUGGUUAGACAUAAAUAUAAAGUUAAUGCUUCUAACUAAAAAAAAGAGAGAAGAACUUGGAGUGAUAGGAAAGGUUCAGUUGGUGAGAUACUGCUGAGUAUUUCUCUGCAUGCUAAGUCCAUGUUGAAUGAAUGAGUGAUGUUUCAUGGUGCUGAGAGGGGAUAGUGGGUUUGAGAACCUGAAACUGAAUCUUCCUCUAAGUGUGGAUGUUCAGCUUUUGAAGGAAUAGAUCCAGAACAUGGAAGAAGAGUAAGGUAAGCUUAGUUUAGGGGAGAACAAAUAAGGAAAAAAUAAGCUCAGAGAGGAAGAGAGGAGAGAAUGAAAUAAUUACAAUGAAAACCCUGUGUGGGGAGUUCCCUUCAUGGCUCAGUGGUUAACAAACCUGACUAGGAUCCAGGAGGUUGCUGGUUCGAUCCCUGGCCUCGUUCAGUGGGUUAAGGAUCCUGUGUUGCCCCGAGCUGUGGUGUAGGUCACAGAUGCACCUCAGAAGUAGCUCCGAUUCAACCCCUGGCCUGGAAACUUCCAUAUGCCACGGGUGCGGCCCUAAAAAGCAAAAAAAAAAAAAAA
This 6248-nucleotide long non-coding RNA is filed under the name Sus scrofa (pig). RNAcentral describes it as "lncRNA (ENSSSCG00040009348.1)". Lineage: Eukaryota; Metazoa; Chordata; Mammalia; Artiodactyla; Suidae. The record is from RNAcentral.